GUCCCGGUUGUGGCGCGGUUGGCUGCCCAAAACGAGACGGGACGAUGGCGCUAAACUUGAAGUUUGAGUGUCCCGUCGGCGACUGUCUGCGGGGGCAUGAGAACGGCAAAUCACGCACGAACGCAAACAAUGGUGGAAUCCAUAUGAAACAUCUCACAGAAGACAGUUUGUCUACCAACCAACCUCGGCUCCAGAAAUCUUGUUACAUAAGCACCCGGUCUCAACCACAUUUAAAGACUCUUCUUCACAUCCUGGACCUCUUGGCUCAACUGUAUAUAAUGAGGAGUAUUACUGGAAGCCGCAGUGUAAACCGAACCGCAUUUGCACAGGAACAGCCUCGGGACACUGGAGAAACAACCCACAUCCCAGUCAGGUCUGU
Molecule: long non-coding RNA, 379 nt
Organism: Fundulus heteroclitus (mummichog)
Lineage: Eukaryota; Metazoa; Chordata; Actinopteri; Cyprinodontiformes; Fundulidae
Exons: 3
Source: RefSeq, a predicted model, not a curated record